RNAcentral lists this ribosomal RNA (253 nucleotides) under uncultured bacterium. Its description in RNAcentral is "partial 16S ribosomal RNA". It matches the Rfam family "Bacterial small subunit ribosomal RNA", at positions 524 to 776 of the family's 1533-position model. The record is from RNAcentral.
UACGUAGGGGGCUAGCGUUGUCCGGAAUCAUUGGGCGUAAAGCGCGCGUAGGCGGCCCAGUAAGUCCGCUGUGAAAGUCAAAGGCUCAACCUUUGAAUGUCAGCGGAUACUGCCGGGCUAGAGUCCGGAAGAGGCGAGUGGAAUUCCUGGUGUAGCGGUGGAAUGCGCAGAUAUCAGGAGGAACACCAACGGCGAAGGCAGGUCUCUGGGCCACUACUGACGCUGAGAAGCGAAAGCAUGGGGAGCGAACAGG